CCUACGGGAGGCAGCAGUGGGGAAUCUUGCGCAAUGGGCGAAAGCCUGACGCAGCCAUGCCGCGUGAAUGAUGAAGGUCUUAGGAUUGUAAAAUUCUUUCACCGGGGACGAUAAUGACGGUACCCGGAGAAGAAGCCCCGGCUAACUUCGUGCCAGCAGCCGCGGUAAUACGAAGGGGGCUAGCGUUGCUCGGAAUUACUGGGCGUAAAGGGAGCGUAGGCGGAUAGUUUAGUCAGAGGUGAAAGCCCAGGGCUCAACCUUGGAAUUGCCUUUGAUACUGGCUAUCUUGAGUAUGGGAGAGGUAUGCGGAACUCCGAGUGUAGAGGUGAAAUUCGUAGAUAUUCGGAAGAACACCAGUGGCGAAGGCGGCAUACUGGCCCAUUACUGACGCUGAGGCUCGAAAGCGUGGGGAGCAAACAGGAUUAGAUACCCUGGUAGUCCACGCUGUAAACGAUGAGUGCUAGUUGUCGGCAUGCAUGCAUGUCGGUGACGCAGCUACGACAUAAGACACUCCGCCGUCGGGAGGUACGGUCGCGAGAAUUAAACUACAAUAGUAAGUUAGUACGGCGUGAGACGUGACCGACGGACGACGACGAGGGAGGAGGG
This 606-nucleotide ribosomal RNA is filed under the name uncultured bacterium. RNAcentral describes it as "bacterial SSU rRNA". The stretch from base 1 to 517 matches the Rfam family "Bacterial small subunit ribosomal RNA", at positions 338 to 873 of the family's 1533-position model. The record is from RNAcentral.